UACGUAGGGUGCGAGCGUUAAUCGGAAUUACUGGGCGUAAAGCGUGCGCAGGCGGCUAUGCAAGACAGGUGUGAAAUCCCCGGGCUCAACCUGGGAACUGCACUUGUGACUGCAUGGCUAGAGUGCGUCAGAGGGAGGUGGAAUUCCGCGUGUAGCAGUGAAAUGCGUAGAGAUGCGGAGGAACACCGAUGGCGAAGGCAGCCUCCUGGGAUGACACUGACGCUCAUGCACGAAAGCGUGGGGAGCAAACAGGAUUAGAAACCCCCGUAGUCC
This 273-nucleotide ribosomal RNA is filed under the name uncultured bacterium. Its description in RNAcentral is "partial 16S ribosomal RNA". It matches the Rfam family "Bacterial small subunit ribosomal RNA", at positions 524 to 796 of the family's 1533-position model. The record is from RNAcentral.